Molecule: ribosomal RNA, 468 nt
Filed under: uncultured bacterium
Lineage: Bacteria
Description: partial 16S ribosomal RNA
Rfam family: Bacterial small subunit ribosomal RNA
Source: RNAcentral
GACGAACGCUGGCGGCGUGCUUAACACAUGCAAGUCGAACGGAAAGGCCCUGCUUUUGUGGGGUGCUCGAGUGGCGAACGGGUGAGUAACACGUGAGUAACCUGCCCUUGACUUUGGGAUAACUUCAGGAAACUGGGGCUAAUACCGGAUAGGAGCUCCUGCUGCAUGGUGGGGGUUGGAAAGUUUCGGCGGUUGGGGAUGGACUCGCGGCUUAUCAGCUUGUUGGUGGGGUAGUGGCUUACCAAGGCUUUGACGGGUAGCCGGCCUGAGAGGGUGACCAGCCACAUUGGGACUGAGAUACGGCCCAGACUCCUACGGGAGGCAGCAGUGGGGAAUAUUGCACAAUGGGCGGAAGCCUGAUGCAGCAACGCCGCGUGCGGGAUGACGGCCUUCGGGUUGUAAACCGCUUUCGCCUGUGACGAAGCGUGAGUGACGGUAAUGGGUAAAGAAGCACCGGCUAGCUACGUG